AAAGUCGUAACAAGGUUUCCGUAGGUGAACCUGCGGAAGGAUCAUUUCCGAACAAAACUUUAAUACCGACCCACCGUGUGCAAUGUUUUGGGUUUCCCUUUACUCCUUGUAGGUGAUACAGAUAUGUGUUUGGAAAAGAGAAAUCUUACCCUUAUAUAUAUCAUACUAUCAUCCUAUGGGGAGGCCUUUAUGAACUACCUUGCUUUAAAGGUUGAUGUAACCAUUUACUUAUACCAAAUGAAAAAUAAAGUAAUGAUACGACAACUUUUAACGGUGGAUCUCUUGGCUCGU
Molecule: unclassified non-coding RNA, 291 nt
Filed under: Basidiomycota sp.
Lineage: Eukaryota; Fungi; Basidiomycota
Description: partial contains small subunit ribosomal RNA, internal transcribed spacer 1, and 5.8S ribosomal RNA
Rfam family: Eukaryotic small subunit ribosomal RNA (bases 1-47)
Source: RNAcentral